Molecule: long non-coding RNA, 506 nt
Organism: Rosa rugosa (rugosa rose)
Lineage: Eukaryota; Viridiplantae; Streptophyta; Magnoliopsida; Rosales; Rosaceae
Exons: 2
Source: RefSeq, a predicted model, not a curated record
AAACGAACAGACAACGAAGCCCAGGUUCUAACACGGAUAUCAUAUGAUGGCAUCAAUCGGAAACUCCAUGGUGGCUUUCCUCUUUUUGCUCGCAAUUCUAUUUCCCAUAACAGUGGACUCCGGUAAGCCAUAUUCACGUGAGAGUAGUGAUCAAGCUCUCCAGAUUGGUUCAAGUCCUCCAGAUUGCUUGAAUAUGUGUCAGGGUUGCACACCCUGCACUCCUACUCUGAAAACAAUUCCACCUGAAGAAUAUUAUCCACAAGCAUGGAAAUGCGAAUGUGGAGGUCGCACAUAUGAACCUCAUCAUUGAUCCUACUACGAUGUCAUCACUACAUUUAUAUUCAAAUUUAAGUACGUAAAAUAAUUAUUUAGAUGAAUAAAAUUGAAUCUGUGAAACUACACUCCCUUUUUAUUGUUAUAUAAUUUUCUGUGCAAUUCAGUGAUUAAUAUAAAAAUGACUAUGAUUGGGCAUUGGGAAUAAGACGGCUUGCUAACUUCUCGGUCUU